AACCCUUUGGCAGCUUGAAGGAUUCUAUUAUCUUUGGAAUUAUCAAGAAAUAACUUCUUUUUGGAUUUAUGAUUUAUUCUAGAGUAUUACCUCCAUUACAAGAGCCUGUUCUGUCUGUGGAGGUGUUUUCUUCACAAAAUUGCUCUCUAGGCUUGCAGUUAGUCUGAGCUUUUACCAGGUGAUUGUCCCAUUUGCCCCAUUAAUGCAGCUCAGCUGGGUCAAAUGGCUCUACAUUUAAAAAGCAGCCCAGGCACCAUUUUCCCAGUUUAGGUGUUAUUUGAACCAGCUUAAGCUCAAAAAGGCUAAGGAAAGAUCCAUGGACAUCCAAGGAAAGAGUAAGCUUUCUAGGCUACCAUUUGAUAUGGCUGGCUCUGGAGACAAAGUGGAGCACCAAUACUGGUGUGGUCUAGAAGCAGGCCAGAAGUAAUGACAGUACCACAUAGUGGAGACACUUUGCUAGUUGUGAAUAUCAGGUAAUUUUUUUCCAGCUUCUCUGGUAUCUGUGCUCGUGUCUUAGGUUUUAAAGUUUUGCUAAAAUAGUUUCAGUGUUCUGUACUAUGUAAGGUACAAAGUCUUACUGGCGGAGGUCGUACAGCUCCUUCAAACAUGAGAAACUGUGCAUUGAUCUUGGCUGCUCAGAUCUCUCCUGGCUCAUCCGGCCUCGUCCAGGCUUUUUCAGCUCUUCCACUUGUCGCUGCAGGUCAUCUAUGUGUGUUUGUAGACUUUCAAUAGUCUCUGUCAAGCUAAAAGGUGAAAAGACCUUUAAAUAAAACUAACCUUUCAAUUUGCCAGUAUUGUAGAACACCACUAGGCAGAGACAGACACCCAGUGACUACACAAAUACACCUGGACUGCUCUUAUUGAUAGUAACAGCUGGGGGGAGGGAAUCUCUAAAAAUUUGUUACCUUAUUAUCUUUUGUUGUGAAGCUCUACUCUCUGCAACCAGUUUUUGAUUAGUGUCUUCCAGUUCUCUUGCUGUCACAUCCAGCUGUUCAUAGACUUUUGCAUGCUGGUCGUUCAUCUGCCGCAGGAGCUCCACUUGCUUUGUGAGGUACUGCAAGACAGCCCUGCUGUUACUGGUUUACUCUUGAGACACGAGCUACAGCUCCUCUGCUGCAUUUUGGCUCACAUUCAGAGAGAAACUCCUGAGCUUUCCAAGUGUAAAUUCCCAUGUUUGCUUUGGUAAGCUGAAGAGACACUCAGUAACUAGGCAGCUUGCCUUUGUCAUGGAGGUCACCCCAGGCUCCCGAGGCAGCCCUUACCUGGAGGAGCUGGGUUAGGUGGUGCCAGCUGUCUUGGUCUGUGCCCAGCCUCCUGCAUGGGGCUGUGCUGCAGUCAGCACUGAUAGAGCCUUCAGGCUCCAACACAGCCCUUACCUGUCCUCUGUGUUCUAAAGGUUGAGUCUGCUCCAACAGAAAUUUCUUAUCUGUGGUGACCCAACAAUUUUCUCAACAUUAAAACUGAAAUAUUGGGUAGCAUCAUCCAUAAUUUAACAUACUUUCAGCUGACCCAAGUGAUUCCAGUCUGAAGCAGCAUUAGGUUCAGCACAGCAAAAUUUAGGUUGUGGUCACUCUUAAGACAGUAUGUGGCUAGUAUGUGUCAGGAAGUAUGUUAUUGAAUUCAAAUCUUUAAUUACUUCCAGGUAACUAUUCCAGUUACAGUAAUCCCAAACAAAGGUCUCCUGGCCUUUUUUUAGAAAACAAAACCUCACAUGAAGUAUUCUCAAUUUAAUCCUCUUGGGUUUUACAAUUAACUACACACACUGUUUAGUUUCCUGAAUAACCUCAGAAAGCUUGGAAUUCUUAGUCUUAGCAGUUCACAAUCACCUAAAGCUCUUAAAGUGUCUUAUAUUUUCCCACCCAGGACAUGAGCACUUAUAUGAGACAGUUCUUUUAGUUUGAGCCUAACCCCCUAAAUCUGACAUCUUUUGCUCUUAUAUAGAAUUUUUAUUUUACAAUAUAUUCUGUAUUGCUACUUGUUACUUUCUCAAAACUAAGCUUCAAGCAGGAACAUCAGCAAACUCCUAGGCAGAAUUACUUCUCUUUACAUGGGUCUGUUACAUACUCAAAACUUCUAAUAUUCUACUUAACCUUUUACCUCAUUAAAAGAUUGGUGGGUUUACAUUUUAGGCAAUUUAAGAACAGAUAAUAAGUUAAUCUAGGACUAGUAACUGCUCCAUACAGACUUCUAGAAGAUCAACAUGAUAGCUGUUAGCUAGAUCCUUUUGUAGGCUGUGCACACAUGACAGAGGAUUUACACAAAAAUAGAAUGUAGAUUAGCAGUAGAAUCUCAAUGUGACCCAUUUCAGAUUAACUUUCCCUAUUGGUUAUAGCUGAAGGAAGGAGCUGGAGAUCCUCAGAGUUUCUUCUGCAAUACAAGUGUGGCAAUACAAGCACAGGUGCCUGAAGAGAUGUUGCCACUUAUUACAAUGGGCUUUUGCAGACCUUGGAGAUGAAUGGAAGGGGUGAAGCACCACUUCCUCCACCUUCCAUCUCCAGUAUCUUCAGGGCUGGUGUCCAGUUGGCCUGGUAUAACCAGACCACCAAAGCUGAUGUAAUAAAUACUUUAGAAGUUCAUGUUUAAUGGAGCACCAAAUAUGAAGCAGCACCUUGCAUUCUAGCACAUGAAAACUGGGAGGCUGUCAAGAUUUCCAGGGUCUGAGUGCUGAGAACACAUUCAGGCAGGAAUAAAGUUGCUGUUUCCAUGCAGCCUUUAUUACAUCUACAGUGACUAGUCAGUGGCACACGUGUCAGCACAAAGGUCAGAUAUAAUGAUGCAAAGCUGUAAAAUGCUUAAUGUGUUAGUAUUUAAUAUAUGAGAUGUAAUCUUAAGCACACCACAGCCUUUGACCUUUCCCCUCCAUUACAGACAAGGCAAUGCUGUAUUUCAGAAUGAUUUCUCAGCCAGCUCUAGACUUUGCUAGCCCUAAGAUCCAAAUUAAUAGGAAAAGAGUCCCAAAGAUUUACAUGGAUAUACUGCACUGAAAAAGCUAGUACAGAAAUUCAGUGGAGUGGCUACAGGAACAGCUGAAUGAUCACAUGUAGGUUACAGAGACAAGCACUUGAAAAUUGGAAAAAAUCAAGAACAGAGACUGAAUAUGCCAUUUGCACAUGUAUCCUGUGCAACAGGGCAUCCUAUGAUCCCACAAGAGCCAGAAAUGCUGAUAUGAAAAUAAUAGACUGAACUGCUUUAUACCUUGCAUAUGAAAAUUGUAUUCCCAUUUGUUUCAGUGAAUUCCUGUAACAAUUCCUUGUGCCAGUAAGCUAACAUAUGCAGUUCCUCAGUUGGACAGUCUCUCUGGGUAUUUGAACAAGGGGUUCAUUUUCCCUUUCCUGCUAGAAAUCCAGGUGCAAGAGAAACUUCUUUGGAGAAAGAAAAGUUUUGUGCUGCUAUUACACUUUUAAAUGGCACUGGGGAAAGGGAAAAAAUUGAGACAGGCGACAGGACUGAGAAGACAGCACGUUAGUACAGCAGAUACAAAUACAGCCUUUGGCUCAACAAGCUGGGCAAAGACAAGGUGCAGGCACUAUUUAUACAUCAGAAGCAUCACAAAAACUGUUCUCCCACUCUCCUCCUCUUGGAGGGAGCUAAUAGGACAAUCCAACACACAUUUACUCUCCUUGAGGGAGAGGAGGAAAGAGAUUGAAGAGGUAUUAGAUAAAGCCUUCAAAAAGUAGUAUUGCCAAAGUCUUGGUAGAGCAAGACAUUGAGAAAAAAAAAUUCAUCUGUCAUGUCUGAGUUUGACUGCAUGUGUACCUGACCCUGCAACACCCAACUAUAGAUCACUGUGGAAGGACACUGGUGACACUUCCUGGAGCUGCAGCUCUCUCACAUCCUCUGCAAACACUGAACCACCAGAACAGCUUAAGGAAGUAAACUGGCUUAAACCAAUAGGAUAUUGCAUUCUUAACAGCACUAGACUGUUUCUGUAAAUCAGUGUAGCCAAACAAUAAUGUAUUUUCCACAUUUCUAGAUAGUGUUAAAAUGCAGCUGCUCAUUAAGUAGCUACACUCCCAACAGCCAGGUUAGCUGCCUAUCACAAAGUUCUGCUGUGCUAUUUCAAAGGUAUGUUGUAACUCUGCUAAACACUUUCUUCAAUAUGGUUGUUUAUACAAGUACCUUGUGUACAGUAUUUGUAUAGCACCUUGGAAGUGUUUGUCUUCUCUACACCUUAGGAAUUGAUCUUUUUAUAAAAACUAUUCAUGGCAAUGAGGUAUUUUCAGUCUCUGCAGAAGUAAAUACAUCUUCUAACGCUGUGGCAGCAAUAUAAACAUCAGCCAUUCCAACCACUGUAUCUCAGAAUGAACAGGAUAACAAAGAUUACAGUUAGCACAUAAUAGAAGAAAGAGCCAACAGAUGAGGUACAAAACAAAAGUAACUUCUAAAAACACGCCCACAAAUCAAACCUGCACUCAGAAAUUACUCAUCGCUUAAAAAAAUGCUGCAUUUGUGUUGACUACUUUAAAGUCACCUAUAAUUCUGCAAUUAUUAAGGUUAGGAUUCUUUCAGUUACCUUUUGCCACUACAAUAGUGAGCAUUUUCAGUCUCAGCUGUACAAAAUGCACAUCUCUAAGUGCAGUACUGCUAGCACAAAGGAAUUCAGAUUUUGUAAAAAUCUGGUACAUACCAGUCAAAGCCUGUUCCCUGUGAUUCACACCAGAACCAAAUGGAAAUGCUGACUACAUUUUCAAUGUCAGUCAGUGAAGUCCUGAAUAUUUAAUAAUUUAAUUAUUAGAGACCAUGCAUGCCCUCUAAUAGCUGAAAAAGAUCUCAUUAUGCUGACAAAUGCUAGGUCUGCAAGAACACAGGCAAUAUUAAAAAAAAAAAAAGAAACUGCCAAAAAUAGCCAGGUUUUUCCACUCUGUUACCUAAAGAUGACUGGUUUUGAAAGGAUGGUUAUGUUAUUGGGUUUUUUCCCUGGAAAAUAUGAACCAAUAUAUCCACUAUAUCCUAUAUUUACAUACUACUUAAAUUGGAUUAUUUUCAGGGGUUUUUUUCUUGUUUGUUUGUUGUGGGUUUUUUUGUCAUUGCAGGGUUUCUUUACAUUGAAAUAGACUUUAACUCCCUUUAUCACUGAUUAUUGGAAGUACAUAUCUUUAGAUUUCAGUUAAAUCUCACUUCUGCACUUAUUGGCAUUUAAAUUUCAAUGCUGCAAUCAUUAAUUCUCAUGUAAUAUUUUAAAUUAUUAAUGUCUUUAUCAUAAUAUAAUUUAAUGUUAUUUUACCUAGCAAGA
Molecule: long non-coding RNA, 5233 nt
Organism: Passer domesticus (house sparrow)
Lineage: Eukaryota; Metazoa; Chordata; Aves; Passeriformes; Passeridae
Exons: 2
Source: RefSeq, a predicted model, not a curated record